RNAcentral lists this ribosomal RNA (562 nucleotides) under uncultured bacterium. Its description in RNAcentral is "partial 16S ribosomal RNA". It matches the Rfam family "Bacterial small subunit ribosomal RNA", at positions 355 to 905 of the family's 1533-position model. The record is from RNAcentral.
UGGGGAAUUUUUGGACAAUGGGCGCAAGCCUGAUCCAGCAAUGCCGCGUGCAGGAUGAAGGCCUUCGGGUUGUAAACUGCUUUUGUACGGAACGAAAAGCCCUGGGUUAAUACCCUGGGGUCAUGACGGUACCGUAAGAAUAAGCACCGGCUAACUACGUGCCAGCAGCCGCGGUAAUACGUAGGGUGCAAGCGUUAAUCGGAAUUACUGGGCGUAAAGCGUGCGCAGGCGGUUUUGUAAGACAGAGGUGAAAUCCCCGGGCUCAACCUGGGAACUGCCUUUUGUGACUGCAAGGCUAGAGUACGGCAGAGGGGGAUGGAAUUCCGCGUGUAGCAGUGAAAUGCGUAGAUAUGCGGAGGAACACCGAUGGCGAAGGCAAUCCCCGUGGGCCUGUACUGACGCUCAUGCACGAAAGCGUGGGGAGCAAACAGGAUUAGAUACCCUGGUUAGUCCACGCCCUAAACGAUGUCAACUGGUUGUUGGGUCUUUAACUGACUCAGUAACGAAGCUAACGCGUGAAGUUGACCGCCUGGGGAGUACGGCCGCAAGGUUGAAACUCAAA